ACUACCUUCAUGCUUAAGUUAUGCUUUAUGUCAGUAUAAUGCUUUGAGUCCGUGUGUGCUGUAAAAUAAAGUAAUGCUUUGUGUCAGUGUGUGCUUUAUGUCAGUAUAAUGUGUUGUAGUACUGUAAAAUAAAAUGCUUUGUGUCAUUGUGUGCUUUAUGUCAGUAUAAUGUGUCAUAGUGCUGUAAAAUAAAGUAAGGAAUCUGCUUUAAGAGGACAAGAGGUAAUGCGAUGGGGCCAAUAAGCAGCACCCGGUUCCUCUCUGUAGCUCUAUAUAAGCAGUCGAUACCUCAUUGCAAGACAUCAAGCAAUCCUUGAGUCUUACUCUGAGUCUUGUAAGAAGCUUGCAGUGUGCAUUUACUAAUAGAAAUCUGACUCCGGAGCCAGCUACUCAAAAGAUGACAUAUUGGUUUGAUCGGAUGGAUGGUGGAGUCAGUCGGGUGUAUGACUUCUUUUGGAGACCGAGUCUGCAGAAUCCUUGGGCCUACAACCUAGUCACACGAUGACAUUUCGCACAUGGGUGCCUCCCUACGAGAGCCGGAUAGUAGUAUUUGGAGAACCAAAGCUGCACUUUUUGCAAGCUUUAGGAGGAGACACAAGAGCACCUCUUAUUUGAGUGUGUUCCUAUCGCGGAGACAUGAAGACGGAUCCGGGAGUGGCUACAUAUGCAUCAGAGCAUGUUCACCUAUAGGAGGAUGCUUCAAGUCUUCCAGCAUUCCUGUCAUGGGACUCGGGUUUUGGUGAAGGCUCGUCACCUUGUUGUUUCUUCUAUGAUAAACUAUGUAAGGUUGGCAAGGAAUAGUUGUUUGUUUGAGGGGGUUCAAAUAGAUGUAGAGAGUAUCUUCAAGAGAUAUGUUUUAGUCUUUGGCUGUCUACUCGGACCUGAUGCUGUAUCAGGCGUGAGUGGCACUCCAUACCUACAUUGUACAUUUUGACUCAUAUAGUCAUAUAUACA
Molecule: long non-coding RNA, 954 nt
Organism: Zingiber officinale
Lineage: Eukaryota; Viridiplantae; Streptophyta; Magnoliopsida; Zingiberales; Zingiberaceae
Exons: 2
Source: RefSeq, a predicted model, not a curated record